Molecule: non-coding RNA, 78 nt
Filed under: unclassified sequences
Description: CyVA-1 RNA
Rfam family: CyVA-1 RNA
About the family: Cyanobacteria, Acidobacteria (1 example), Verrucomicrobia (1 example).
Source: Rfam by way of RNAcentral
GCACUGGAUGGAGGUUGUUCCGCUGUGAUCCAUUGUCGGACAUCGAAGGAGAGCGACGCUCAGAUGUCUGGACAGUGC